GAUGAACGCUGGCGGCGUGCUUAACACAUGCAAGUCAAACGGAAAGGCCUCUGCUUGCAGGGGUACUCGAGUGGAGAACGGGUGAGAAACACGUGGGUGAUCUGCCCUGCACUUCGGGAUAAGCCUGGGAAACUGGGUCUAAUACCGGAUAGGACGAUGGUUUGGAUGCCAUUGUGGAAAGUUUUUCGGUGUGGGAUGAGCUCGCGGCCUAUCAGCUUGAUGGUGGGGUAAUGGCCUACCAAGGCGUCGACGGGUAGCCGGCCUGAGAGGGUGUACGGCCACAUUGGGACUGAGAUACGGCCCAUACUCCUACGGGAGGCAGACAGUGGGGAAUAUUGCACAAUGGGCGCAAGCCUGAUGCAGCGACGCCGCGUGUAGGAUGACGGCCCUCGGGUUGUAAACUCCUUUCGCUAUCGACGAAGCGCAAGUGACGGUACCUGCAGAAGAAGCAGCGGCUAACUACGUGCCAUCAUCCGAGGUAAUACCUAGGGUGCGAGCGCUGUCCGGAAUUACUGUGCGUAAAGAGCUCGUAGUGGUUUGUCGCGUCGUUGUGUAAAGCCCGCAGCUUAACUGCGGGACUGCAUGCGAUACGGGCAUAACUUGAGUGCUGUAGGGGAGACUGGAAUUCCUGGUGUAGCGGUGGAAUGCGCAGAUAUCAGGAGGAACACCGAUGGCGAAGGCAGGUCUCUGGGCAGUAACUGACGCUGAGGAGCGAAAGCAUGGGGAGCGAACAGGAUUAGAUACCCUGGUAGUCCAUGCCGUAAACGGUGGGCGCUAGGUGCGAGUCCCUUCCACGGGGUUCGUGCCGUAGCUAACGCAUUAAGCGCCCCGCCUGGGGAGUACGGCCGCAAGGCUAAAACUCAAAGGAAUUGACGGGGGCCCGCACAAGCGGCGGAGCAUGUGGAUUAAUUCGAUGCAACGCGAAGAACCUUACCUGGGCUUGACAUACACCAGAUAGGGCCAGAGAUGGUCUUUCCCUUUGUGGUUGGUGUACAGGUGGUGCAUGGUUGUCGUCAGCUCGUGUCGUGAGAUGUUGGGUUAAGUCCCGCAACGAGCGCAACCCUUGUCUUAUGUUGCCAGCAAUUCGGUUGGGGACUCGUGAGAGACUGCCGGGGUUAACUCGGAGGAAGGUGGGGAUGACGUCAAAUCAUCAUGCCCCUUAUGUCCAGGGCUUCACACAUGCUACAAUGGUCGGUACAACGCGUCUGCGAGCCUGUGAGGGUGAGCUAAUCGCUGAAAGCCGGUCGUAGUUCGGAUUGGGGUCUGCAACUCGACCCCACGAAGUCGGAGUCGCUAGUAAUCGCAGAUCAGCAACGAUGCGGUGAAUACGUUCCCGGGCCU
Molecule: ribosomal RNA, 1341 nt
Filed under: uncultured bacterium
Lineage: Bacteria
Description: bacterial SSU rRNA
Rfam family: Bacterial small subunit ribosomal RNA
Source: RNAcentral